Molecule: ribosomal RNA, 253 nt
Filed under: uncultured bacterium
Lineage: Bacteria
Description: partial 16S ribosomal RNA
Rfam family: Bacterial small subunit ribosomal RNA
Source: RNAcentral
UACGUAGGUGGCAAGCGUUGUCCGGAAUUAUUGGGCGUGAAGCGCGCGCAGGCGGUCCUUUAAGUCUGAUGUGAAAGCCCACGGCUCAACCGUGGAGGGUCAUUGGAAACUGGGGGACUUGAGUACAGAAGAGAAGAGUGGAAUUCCCGGUGUAGCAGUGAAAUGCGUAGAUAUCGGGAGGAAUACCGAUGGCGAAGGCAGGUCUCUGGGCUGACACUGACGCUCAUGCACGAAAGCGUGGGGAGCAAACAGG